RNAcentral lists this ribosomal RNA (661 nucleotides) under uncultured euryarchaeote. RNAcentral's name for it is "bacterial SSU rRNA". It matches the Rfam family "Archaeal small subunit ribosomal RNA", at positions 407 to 1067 of the family's 1478-position model. Lineage: Archaea; Methanobacteriati; Methanobacteriota. The record is from RNAcentral.
CUUUUGCCAAAUGUAAAAAGUUUGGCGAAUAAGGACUGGGUAAGACUAGUGCCAGCCGCCGCGGUAAUACUAGCGGUCCAAGUCGCAGCCAUUUUUAUUGGGUCUAAAACAUCCGUAGCUUGCUUGGUAAGUUUCUUGUGAAAUCCUCUCUCUUAAGGAGAGGGCUUGCAAGAAAUACUGCCUCGCUAGAGACUGGGAGACGUAAAGAGUACGUUCAAAGUAAUGGUAAAAUAUGUUAAUCUUGAGCGGACUUACAAUAGCGAAGGCACUUUACGAGAACAGUUCUGACAGUAAGGGAUGAAGGCUAGGGGCGCAAAACGGAUUAGAUACCCGUGUAGUCCUAGCAGUAAACACUGCACACUAAACAUCAGUACCUCUUCGAGAGGUAUUGGUGCUGAAGGGAAGCCGAAGAGUGUGCUACCUGGGAAGUAUAGUCGCAAGGCCGAAACUUAAAGGAAUUGGCGGGGAGACACUACAACGGGUGACGCGUGCGGUUCAAUCAGACUUCACACUGUGAACCUCACCAGGAGCGACAGCAGGAUGAAGGUCAGUCUAAAGGGCUUACCUGACACGCUGAGAGGAGUUGCAUGGCCGACGUCAGCCUGUGCCGUGAGGUGACCUGUUAAAUCAGGUAACAGGCAAGACCCACAUGCAUAUUUAC